CGAGCUGGAACGUUCUUUUGGUCGC
This 25-nucleotide non-coding RNA is filed under the name Cricetulus griseus (Chinese hamster). Lineage: Eukaryota; Metazoa; Chordata; Mammalia; Rodentia; Cricetidae. The record is from RNAcentral.